This 253-nucleotide ribosomal RNA is filed under the name uncultured bacterium. RNAcentral's name for it is "partial 16S ribosomal RNA". It matches the Rfam family "Bacterial small subunit ribosomal RNA", at positions 524 to 776 of the family's 1533-position model. The record is from RNAcentral.
UACGGGGGGGGCAAGCGUUGUUCGGAAUUACUGGGCGUAAAGGGUUUGUAGGUGGCCAACUAAGUCAGACGUGAAAUCCCUCAGCUUAACCGGGGAACUGCGUCUGAUACUGGUUGGCUUGAGUGCAGGAGAGGAACGCGGAAUUCCAGGUGUAGCGGUGAAAUGCGUAGAUAUCUGGAGGAACACCGGUGGCGAAGGCGGGUCUCUGGGCCGAUAUCGACGCUGAGGAGCGAAAGCGUGGGGAGCGAACAGG